Long non-coding RNA from Eublepharis macularius, 1867 nucleotides. RefSeq lists it as uncharacterized. NCBI's taxonomy places the organism in Eukaryota, Metazoa, Chordata, Lepidosauria, Squamata, Eublepharidae. The record is from RefSeq and is a predicted model, not a curated record. The transcript is spliced from 2 exons.
GGGCAGGGUCAAGCGGCCAUUGAGUUGCCUUGAAUUGAGUCGAAGCCUUAAAGCAAAACCCUUCGUCAUUUCCUUGAUGGGAGUCGGUGCUUCUUGGGCCCCCCGGUAGCCUUUACUCCAGCUUGCCAACCUCCAGGUGGGGCCUGGAGAUCUCCCGGAAUUCCAAUUGAUCUUCAAGCAACAGGGCUUAGUUCCCCUGGAGGAAAUGGUGGCUUCGGAGGGGGGACUCCUCUGAGGUCUGUUCCCAGACGUCGCCCUCUACCGGCCUUCCCCCAGAAUUCCCCAAGGCGGAGUUCGCGACCCUUCGUGCAGAAAUCCGGCCUGGGGGGGAAGAGGCCUCGAGGGUGACUAAAUGAGCAACACCAGCGCACCGUCAGAGAACUGCAAAGAGCAGGAGAAAGAAGAGGAGGAAGUAGCUAUUGGGCCAGUGCAGGGCCUACAGGUGCCUGAUGAAGGAUGCAUUCCUCCCACUGUAACGCCGUCGGCAUCGGAAGGGAAGUCGGAGCCGCCGCCCCCUACUCACUGUCAAGCCUGGCUCUUGGACAUGCUGGAUGAUGUACGCUAUCUCAUCUCCUGCACCAAUUGGUAUUAGACUGAUUCCUCUGGACCCCCAGCUGCCUUCACUGAGAUUCUCACACCACCGAUCAAAUCCCUGCCCGGUCUCAUCUGCUGAGAAGGACUGCAGUGCCUGCAGUGAAGAACAAGGGGGGCUUUCCUAGCCAGCCCCAUCUCUGUCUCUCAAUAAAAGCCUGGGAAGGAAAUAGCCCCUACAGCUUGGUCUGAUGGCUUCUGCUCUCAAGGCAUUUUCUUUGGCACUUGCACCUUAUUGCUGCUUUACACAAUUCACACCAGCAUGGCAUUUCCCACCAUAUGCGGUGUAACCUCCUACAAAGCUUUGAGUAACGACACCAUUUAUCUGGUCCUCCUGGUUGUAUGGAAUAUGCUUCUAAACUAGGCAGGAAAGAACAAAACAAGUGAGAUGGUGGCCAUAGGUAGAGUGCUUACUAGAGAUGGGUACAAACCGAAGAACAAACCAAAGUUUGUCACAAACCAAGCCAUUUUUCUGACAAACCACAACAAACUGUUAUGAUUUUAGAGUGGUACAUUUUUCGAUUCGUCACUGCAUACAGCUUGGCGCCAAUCAAUCAGUUUCCUAGGCAACAGUGGGAGGGGCUUUCUGCAGACCUGCUGCCCCAGAAGUGACGUUUUCAUGAACCAAAUGAACCGGUUUGUGAACCAGGCAAUUUUAUGCCGAUUCAUGGUUCGUGAAACGCGACGAACCACAAACCGCAACAAACCGCCAUUUUUCCAGUUCGUGCCCAUCUCUAGUGCCUACCCAUAUUCGUGUCCAGUUUGUGCCCAUCUCUAGUGCUUACCCGUAUUCAUGUUCCAUGCCAUUCCUGUCUGAGAAAAACAGGAUCUGAGUCCAGUGGCAUCUUAGAGACCAACAAGAUUUUCAGGGUAUAAGCUCUUGAGAGUCAAAGCUCCCUUCAGAGACAGCCGGACAGUACCUAUCAAGGUCAGGACUGUCUUUGUCUACUCUGACUGACAGAGGCUCCUCAGUGUCUCAGGCACAGAUCUUACACAUUACUUAUGACCUGACACCGUUAAACGAGAGAUGCCAGAGAUUGAACCUACCACUUCCUGCGUGCCAUUAAGCCUGACCCUGUUCCUGUUUGAAUACGUGAAUCUGCUUUAUACCACACAUGAAGCUGCUCUAUAGCUUCAUGUGUGGUAGACCUUUGGACCAUCAAGGUCGGUAUUCUCAAUCUCUACUCAAGCAGGCAGUGGCUUUGUCUGUGCUGAAACUUGUCACUUGCACUGCAGUAAUCUAGGGCCAAAUAAAUUUUCCAUCAGCAGAACAAAA